GAGAGCUUCUCUAAUAGAUUAGGGGACGGCUAAGUAAUGUCUUAGUUUAUUUGAUCAAUCAGUAAAAAUAUCAGGUGAAGUGAUGUGGCCUCCAUGUGAAAAAGAGAGGAUAGAACACAAUGAUAAAGUAAUAUGCAGGAAAGCAGAAUGGGGGAAGGAAGAUAUAAAAUCUCACUACAGUAUUAAUGAUUGCUCUGUGUAGACUUUCCCCCUAGGCUUACCUCCAUCUGGAGCUUCAACCUGCACUGUGCCAAACAAGAUUUAGCUUAAAUGUCCAACCAUUUAUUUGGAUUGCAUAGUUGGUAAGAUAAUAACCAUUUAUAUGGUAUCUAGUCUUGAAAAGUCUUUACUGCUUAUUUAAUAAACAUAUCGUUGCAUUUUUCAGGUUUCAUGUUCUUUCCUUUCUGCCAUCGUUGAUGAGAAAGCCAAACUGAACUUACUCUGUGUGCUGGAAUGAACUGGGGUCUGUUAGCCAAAUGGAUCUCAGCCAGAGGGGCUAGAGGGAAUGAACCAAAUCCAAAGGUGGGAUACCUGAUGUAUUACUUCAGCAGCAAAUUCAACAAGGCCAAGAUGUCUUCAUUUCCCUUUAGAGCAAGGGCCGUAAGAGCGGUGCGAUGGAAGCAUUGGUCUUCUGUGGCCAGCCAGCAAGAACCCAUCAGCAGCUGUGAUGAGCAGAGCAGACAUGGGGAGACAGGAGGCAGGCGAAGCCAAAGAGGACCCACGCCUGGAGCUGUGUUUGUGAUUGGAGCAGAGAGAGGCCAGGACCCAAGGAAAUCCCAGCAGCAAAGGAAAAAAACAGAUUGA
This 804-nucleotide long non-coding RNA is filed under the name Struthio camelus australis. RNAcentral describes it as "lncRNA (ENSSCUG00000006162.1)". The record is from RNAcentral. Lineage: Eukaryota; Metazoa; Chordata; Aves; Struthioniformes; Struthionidae.